This 253-nucleotide ribosomal RNA is filed under the name uncultured bacterium. RNAcentral describes it as "partial 16S ribosomal RNA". It matches the Rfam family "Bacterial small subunit ribosomal RNA", at positions 524 to 776 of the family's 1533-position model. The record is from RNAcentral.
UACAGAGGUCUCAAGCGUUGUUCGGAUUCAUUGGGCGUAAAGGGUGUGUAGGUGGCGCCGUAAGUCGGGUGUGAAAUUUCGGAGCUUAACUCCGAAACUGCAUUCGAUACUGCGGUGCUUGAGGACUGGAGAGGAGACUGGAAUUCCUGGUGUAGCGGUGAAAUGCGCAGAUAUCAGGAGGAACACCGGUGGCGAAGGCGGGUCUCUGGGCAGUAACUGACGCUGAGGAGCGAAAGCGUGGGGAGCGAACAGG